UACGUAGGGUGCAAGCGUUGUCCGGAAUUAUUGGGCGUAAAGAGCUUGUAGGCGGUUUGUCGCGUCUGCUGUGAAAUUUCGGGGCUCAACCCCGAACUUGCAGUGGGUACGGGCAGGCUAGAGUGUGGUAGGGGAGACUGGAAUUCCUGGUGUAGCGGUGAAAUGCGCAGAUAUCAGGAGGAACACCGAUGGCGAAGGCGGGUCUCUGGGCCGAUAUUGACGCUGAGGAGCGAAAGCGUGGGGAGCGAACAGG
RNAcentral lists this ribosomal RNA (253 nucleotides) under uncultured bacterium. RNAcentral describes it as "partial 16S ribosomal RNA". It matches the Rfam family "Bacterial small subunit ribosomal RNA", at positions 524 to 776 of the family's 1533-position model. The record is from RNAcentral.